GACGAACGCUGGCGGCGUGCCUAACACAUGCAAGUCGAACGGAAAGGCCCUGCUUUUGUGGGGUGCUCGAGUGGCGAACGGGUGAGUAACACGUGAGUAACCUGCCCUUGACUUUGGGAUAACUUCAGGAAACUGGGGCUAAUACCGGAUAGGAGCUCCUGCUGCAUGGUGGGGGUUGGAAAGUUUCGGCGGUUGGGGAUGGACUCGCGGCUUAUCAGCUUGUUGGUGGGGUAGUGGCUUACCAAGGCUUUGACGGGUAGCCGGCCUGAGAGGGUGACCGGCCACAUUGGGCCUGAGAUACGGCCCAGACUCCUACGGGAGGCAGCAGUGGGGAAUAUUGCACAAUGGGCGGAAGCCUGAUGCAGCAGCGCCGCGUGCGGGAUAACGGCCUUCGGGUUGUAAACCGCUUUCGCCUGUGACGAAGCGUGAGUGACGGUAAUGGGUAAAGAAGCACCGGCUAACUACGUG
RNAcentral lists this ribosomal RNA (468 nucleotides) under uncultured bacterium. RNAcentral describes it as "partial 16S ribosomal RNA". It matches the Rfam family "Bacterial small subunit ribosomal RNA", at positions 28 to 507 of the family's 1533-position model. The record is from RNAcentral.